GGGGCAUCACAGUAUCGCAGCAAUGCGGGAUGGGUGGCGACCGGCAAACGGGUGCGGAACACGUACACAACCUUCCGGUGAGAGGGGGAUAGCCCAGAGAAAUUUGGAUUAAUACCCCAUACUAUAGUGAUCAGGCAUCUGGUUAUUAUCAAAGGCUUCGGCCGCUUAUUGAUGGGUGUGCGUCUGAUUAGGUAGUUGGUGGGGUAGAGGCCCACCAAGCCUGCGAUCAGUAGCUGAUGUGAGAGCAUGAUCAGCCACACGGGCACUGAGACACGGGCCCGACUCCUACGGGAGGCAGCAGUAAGGAAUAUUGGACAAUGGACGCAAGUCUGAUCCAGCCAUGCCGCGUGAAGGAUGAAUGCCCUCUGGGUUGUAAACUUCUUUUAUAGGGGAAGAAAGUUAUCUUUUUUAGGAUAUUUUGACGGUACCCUGUGAAUAAGCACCGGCUAACUCCGUGCCAGCAGCCGCGGUAAUACGGAGGGUGCAAGCGUUAUCCCGGAUUCACUGGGUUUAAGGAUGCGUAGCGGGUAUGUUAGUCAGUGGUGAAAUACCGGAGCCUAACUUCCGAACUGGCAUUGAU
Molecule: ribosomal RNA, 580 nt
Filed under: uncultured bacterium
Lineage: Bacteria
Description: bacterial SSU rRNA
Rfam family: Bacterial small subunit ribosomal RNA
Source: RNAcentral